This 497-nucleotide ribosomal RNA is filed under the name uncultured bacterium. Its description in RNAcentral is "partial 16S ribosomal RNA". It matches the Rfam family "Bacterial small subunit ribosomal RNA", at positions 28 to 507 of the family's 1533-position model. The record is from RNAcentral.
GACGAACGCUGGCGGCGUGCCUAAUACAUGCAAGUAGAACGCUGAAGAGAGGAGCUUGCUCUUCUUGGAUGAGUUGCGAACGGGUGAGUAACGCGUAGGUAACCUGCCUUGUAGCGGGGGAUAACUAUUGGAAACGAUAGCUAAUACCGCAUAACAAUGGAUGACCCAUGUCAUUUAUUUGAAAGGGGCAAAUGCUCCACUACAAGAUGGACCUGCGUUGUAUUAGCUAGUAGGUGAGGUAACGGCUCACCUAGGCGUCGAUACAUAGCCGACCUGAGAGGGUGAUCGGCCACACUGGGACUGAGACACGGCCCAGACUCCUACGGGAGGCAGCAGUAGGGAAUCUUCGGCAAUGGGGGCAACCCUGACCGAGCAACGCCGCGUGAGUGAAGAAGGUUUUCGGAUCGUAAAGCUCUGUUGUAAGUCAAGAACGAGUGUGAGAGUGGAAAGUUCACACUGUGACGGUAGCUUACCAGAAAGGGACGGCUAACUACGUG